Herpailurus yagouaroundi (jaguarundi) is the source of this 2187-nucleotide long non-coding RNA. RefSeq lists it as uncharacterized. The record is from RefSeq and is a predicted model, not a curated record. The transcript has 2 exons. Lineage: Eukaryota; Metazoa; Chordata; Mammalia; Carnivora; Felidae.
UGUGUGGUGCCUGCUUAAGAUUCUUUCUCUCCCUCUGACCCUCUCCCCUGCUCACUCUCUGUCUCUGAAAAAAAAAAAAAAAGAUUUAGAAGGGCAGGGUAGUUGCCCUUACUCUCUUGAAGCUCCUAACUUCUUUGUGAUUCUAAAUCUAUUUCAUGUUUCUUGACAAUCUACAUGGACUAAGUCUUUUAUUAACAUCCUGAUGCCACAUGCCACCAGAGGGAAGUCCUGGAAUUUCUUUGAGGGAGUCACACUAGAAAAAAUAACUCCUCUCAAGAGGGCACAAAUCUGAUACCCUUUCCCCGGUCUCCAACUGCACCCUCAGAGUUGUGAGCUGUGGCUAAGCGUCUCUGCCUGGUCAGAGAAUGGGUGUCAUCUGUGGAUCUCAAGCACCCAGACCCAUAUUUAAACUCCCUGGGGAGCUGGGGGUAAGAGAGACAUGGAUAACAUUUGCAGGGGAGACUGCUGGCUGAAUAUUCACAAGCCAGGUGCAGUGCAGCUGUAGAUGGCCAUGCACUUGUCACCCCAAGUGAAACGGGUCUCCGACCCAGACCAUUGACCAUGGGGAGAGAGGCAGGCUGGUCUCUUCAACUGUUAGGGCUAGAAUGUGCUCUCUUGGGGGAAUCUCUGAGUUGGAAAGGACCGUCUGUCUGCACACCCACUGUGCUCCUAGAACAAGAGUGUUGUGGGGAUGGCGGGCGGGGGGUGGGGUGGUUGCUGGUCUUCUUCUGAACCAUAUGCCCUCAAGAACUCCAUGCUCUCAGAGAAGACUUUCUGGAUAUGAGAAGCAAAUGACCCAGGGACUGGGGAAAAUGGAAGCUGCAGAACUGAGAAAAGCUGAGUCAGCUCUGAAAUAGUUCACAGGCUCAUCCAGGCUUUUGUCUUUCGUGAGAUCUCUCCAAACUGGCUGUUAGGACCCCAUGGGAGAGGCUGAGGAAUCUCAGGCCUGGCUGAUUCACAGCUAACCUCUCUUUCCAGCUGUACUUCCUGAAAGACAGCGUUCAGCUGCAGGCCUCCAGCAUUUCUGUCCACCCCCUCUGCAGAGAUCAGUCUUGAUGUGCAUCCCUCCCCAAUCCUAACUAUCCCCAGCCUAAGACAUUCUGGGCCAGAGGGCUAAGGCCAUGAGUCUGGCUGGUCACGCAAGUUUUGCUCAGGCCUUUGCCACUCCCUAGACUGGUUGCCACCGGGUCCUCCAGCCAGAGACGGCGAGACAAGUAGACUCUCCUUGGGGUGUCACCAGACACCAGGAGGGCUGGGCCACUCACAGUCCUUAAAAAUACCAAAGUCUAGGUAAACCCUGGCUCCUUUAGGAAUAAAACAACGUGGGUGUAGGUGUCUGGAUGAACACACUGCCACGGAAUGGAGAGGAAUCAACCACUCAGCUUAGGUAUCCCAGGCAGAGUUGAGGUUACUGAAGGCAAAGGGAGGCCAGGGGCAAAUCAAUAUCACGGCUUCCCAGCAGAGCCGGGUCAGCACAACAUCUGGGCUGCUUAUUUUGGUCUAGUGCCUCGGUUUUGUUUCCUCAAGAGAAAAUAAAAUCAACACCAGCAGGCUAAGGGUUCACAUGCCAUUUUGUGGUGCAAACCCCAGAGGAAGGAAUGUGGAGCCUUUGGGGGGCAAGAAUGCUAAGGUGGCCAAAGGGCUCUUGGUCCUGCUUUGACAGCGAGGACUACUUCCCCUUCCGGAAAGCAGCUCCAGAGGCAGCUUCAUUCCUGUGAUACUGCACAAGUGGUUCUCAUGCUGGCAACUCUCCGGCUGGGGCAAACACAGACCUGCAUGCAAUAACCAGGAAUAGAAAUCCACAAGGCUUGGAACCUCGAGGCCUGAAACGUUCAGAUGACACCGUCACCUUCCAGGAAAUUGCCUCACGCUCUGCUUCUGAGUUCCACAUUGUGACUUAUAUAUCCUCUUGGGUGCUGGCUCCCCACUGAUGCACAGGGAGGAUAGGGCAGAGGAAGUGAAAGCCUCGCCCUGCAGAAAGCAGCUCAUUUCUAACCUGGUGCCUGCUCAGCUGGAAUCUGAUUCUCAGAAACAUGCUUUGCUGUCCAUACAGAGAAGACCAUCCAUUCAAUUUCUCAGAAGAAGAAGCAAAGGCUAGUUGGGGGCACCCUGCCACACCCCUUUUGAGGAGGUCAGUAGGACUAGUUUUUUUCCCCAGUAUAUUUACUAUUAAAGUAAAAAAACCCA